UGUGACAUGAAUAUGAGAACUCUUCGUUGAUCGUGUUCAGUGAACUCAUUCUUUAUUGAGCACCUACGUACUUGUCUUGAUGUCACACACACCAAUGACUCGAGACUAGUCACUCUCCCUGAGAGAAUACACAGCACGUACUGAUCUUAACGGACUGUCAAUGCCCAAUUGGCAAUCCUAUGAUCAGGAACGUUUAGGAUGUGUCUACGAAAGAAUGGUCUCAUAAAUCUAACUUCUUUAGAUCGCAUUCUCCCAAUCACAUAUUCCUUGGACUUAUCGUUUAAGCAUAUAACAUUUAUAUGAGACGGCUCAAACAAUAAUCUUUGCCCUUUAUAAAUUUAAACUAGAUUAGUUUAACAUGUGAAAUGUCCGUAAAGUAUCAUCAUAUGAUUGGUUUUAGGGCACAUUUCCAACAAGACAAUAUGAUUGUCAAUUAGAAGAUCUUCCAAAAUUUUCAUGACCCCAUAGGAUGUAGUUGGAAAGAAAGACAAAUCUUAAUAAUGUUAAGAUUUGGGGUUGUGUGCUAAUAAGCAAUAUUUGUUUAAAGAAUUAUCUUGUGGGUAUCCUUAAAUUAACAUUUGGAUAUCACUUCUAUAAACCAACUAACAUAUGUUGUUUGUUGGGUAGUUCAUUGUAAUCCUACAAUAUGAUUUGCCUGCCUAACGUAAAUGAACAAGAGAUAGAACUCAAAGAAUGGGUUCUUUGAGAGACAAGAUGAUAAUCAACAAAUAUAACAACCUAGUUCCUACAACACAAGCUCCAAGGUAGUCGAGAAGGAUUUAUAAACUGUCUCAGUUGAAUGGUUUGAACUUUAUGACUAUGUCAUAGAGUUACACCUCUUAAUUCGAAAGAAAUAAGAAUGAAAAUCCUUAUGACUACAUUAAGUGUAUAUACGACAUAUACUCAAGGAAAUGGUAAAGUACCAUUUGACCCGAAAUAAUGAAACUUUUAUAGCUAAUUGGUAGCUUAAGGUGACUACAAUUAAAGAGAUUGGUUGACUUGGAAGAAACCAUCUUUGACGUAGUCUUGGUUUCAAUUAAUUCUAAGAUUGCUAGCUACAACUAAAUGGUGAUUCAAUGUUUGGACAUAAUAUGGGUUUCCGAAACCAUUAUUAAGAUAGUCUUGAUAAUAUAUGUCUAAAACUAUGAAUCACAAGACAUGUAAGUUGUAGAGAUCCAUCCAUCAUGGAUCUUAGCAAGCUAGUGGGAGCUAUAAACGUCUUAUGAGACAAAGAUCAAAUCGUUUGAUUUCUCAUAAAGAUGUAAAUGAAUCUUUUGUUUACUAGGUUUACAAAAGAUUAGUGGGAGUUAAUCAUGUUCCUAAAUUUGAAUAUAUAUAUACAAAUAUAUGAUAUAUUAAUUUUGGAAAUGAAAAAGAAUACUUCUUCGUUAAAGUUAUGACUUUAAACAUUCUAUAACGAUAGAAUGUAUAUGGGAGACAUAGUCUAUAAACAUGGGAUGUAAAUCUAUAAUGAUAGAUUUCAGGAUAUAAUUGGAUUAUAUCAAGCCCUAAUGAUAGACAAAAGAUGCUAGGAAGUUUCUCAUAUGAUGAUAAACUUCAAUUAGAAGAACAACUCUAGUAAGACUAGGAGGUAGCUCUUCUCAAAGGGAACAUACCCUUUGACUCCCAAAGAAAUAAUGCGUAAAUAGAAUCCUUUAUACAUACGCAGAAAAGUGAUUUACGUAUUUCAUAUUGUAUGAAAACAUUGAUAUGAGUUGUACCUAGAACGGUACAAAACGAUAUCAAUGCAAGCCCAGGAUCAGAACCAUGGCAACUGUUAAGUGAGUCCUUAAGUAUUUAAGAAAUAAUAAAGGAUAGAUUCCUCAAAGAAUGAGGAAGAAUUAGAGUAACGUAAUGGAAGCGUAAAUGUAUUAGAUUAU
This 1880-nucleotide long non-coding RNA is filed under the name Malus domestica (apple). RNAcentral describes it as "long non-coding RNA (MDOM_LNC020916)". The record is from RNAcentral. Lineage: Eukaryota; Viridiplantae; Streptophyta; Magnoliopsida; Rosales; Rosaceae.